Molecule: long non-coding RNA, 1393 nt
Organism: Tachysurus fulvidraco (yellow catfish)
Lineage: Eukaryota; Metazoa; Chordata; Actinopteri; Siluriformes; Bagridae
Exons: 3
Source: RefSeq, a predicted model, not a curated record
AGUUCUUUUCUAUACUCAUGUUGUCUUUCACUUUAAUCAACUUUUAGUAACUUUAUUAUUUUACAGCUACCUCUGGAGGGCUUAUUACUAUCACUUCUCCGGCAUUGGACUGGUCGGAGAGUCAAAGUUACUGCCUGAGCCAUUACUUAGAUUUGGCAAGCCCAAAAAAUGUAACAGAGAACAAUGAGAUUCAACCAUUCGUGUCACCCCUGGGCACUUCUUGGAUUGGCAUAUAUAGGCCUAAUUGGACUUGGGUAAAUGGGGAUUUAGGGACUGGGCUUCCGUGGCAUCCUGGCAAUCCAAAUAAUGUUGAUGGAGAUGACAACUGUGGUUUUCUAGAUAACAGCUUGGUAGAGGAUAAACCAUGCAGCAACCAAUUCUACUUCUUCUGUCACAUCCCAUAUACAGUGAGACAGCAAGUAUUAAAACUGAAGAUUCAAGGAGACAAUAGUGUGUUUGGUCCUGCUUCUCAGGCAGCCAUUUUACAACAGGUCAAGCAGAAACUGAAGGACCACGGCAUAGAGAAAGAGACAAAUGUGACCUGGAGGGUGUGGCCAGAUGGAACAGUCAUUCACAAGAAAAGCAAGAAUGAACUCUGAACAAUCUCCUUACAUACUUCUCAAAAUAUAACUUUUAAAUUCUAUAUCAGGUUCUGUUGUGGUGAAAUGUAAUGUCAUAGAAAAAAACAGAUUAAAUUCAAUUUGAAUUCAAAUUUAUUAAUUGAUACUUAGACAUUCAAAUCAAAAGGACACAGUACAAAAUAUAGUUUUACUAGAAGAGUCUCUUGAUUGUUAUGGACAUUCUGUAUAAUUAUUUUAUCAUAAAGGCACAACCAGGGUCUGUGAACAUGAUUUGGAAAAAAGCUUUUUGCAAACAUUCAAUCUGUGAUGAUCUUGGUCUUCAGAUGUGGUUUAUAAUCCCUAAUAAUUAUGCUUUAUUACUGUUAGCUGUAGCGUCUACUUAGAAUUUAAUUUCUACUAUCUUUCUAAUGUCUGUCAACAACCUGGAUGUUAUGACUGGACUAAUGGAGAGAUUUGGGGCCACAUUAGGAGUAUCUUCUUGGUACAGUAUCUUAGUCUCGUACAUGUCUGGCUAGAUUUAAGUCAGACAUAUUUUAUUUAUAUAUUCAUAUCAUUUACAUAUUGAUGUACUUAAAACUUUGUAAGGUGUCUCAAAUAUAGAAUUUUAUUUUAUAUUUUAUAUUUACAAGACAUCCUCUUGAUACUAUCCUUGUGUUAUAUUGAAUGAGUCAGAUGUUAUAUAAAAAAUAUCUUUUAUUACAUUUGAUUGAAUUUGUAUUGUAACUGGCUUAAGUAAUUGUCAUGUCUCAGGUUGUCUUCAUUUACUAUGACGAACAAAUAAUACAAGUAAAUAAAAUUGUUCAGGAAUGUGA